Long non-coding RNA from Carassius gibelio (silver crucian carp), 380 nucleotides. RefSeq lists it as uncharacterized. The transcript has 3 exons. The record is from RefSeq and is a predicted model, not a curated record. NCBI's taxonomy places the organism in Eukaryota, Metazoa, Chordata, Actinopteri, Cypriniformes, Cyprinidae.
UCCACCUCGAGGAGGUCCCCAAAGCCAACCCAAUGGCCAAACAACACGAGAACAAGCAACGGCUGGGACGCAAAGGCACAGUUAAUUCGGCUUGGUUUUGCUCUCACCUCUUCGCUGAUUGCAGCUCACAGUAUCAACUUGGGCACAAUAGCACAGUUAGUUUGCUUUGAAUGGCUCUCACCUCUGGGCUGGACACAGCGUACUGUAAGUACAGGUUUCGCUCUAUUUCUCCUCGCGUUAUCCACUCUCUCUCCUUUUCUCUCCACAGGUAUCAACUUGGGCACAAUAGCACAGUUAGUUUGCUUUGAAUGGCUCUCACCUCUGGGCUGGACACAGCGUACUGUAAGUACAGGUUUCGCUCUAUUUCUCCUCGCGUUAUC